Carya illinoinensis is the source of this 6788-nucleotide long non-coding RNA. RefSeq lists it as uncharacterized. The transcript is spliced from 2 exons. Lineage: Eukaryota; Viridiplantae; Streptophyta; Magnoliopsida; Fagales; Juglandaceae. The record is from RefSeq and is a predicted model, not a curated record.
UAAUCUUAUUGCUUGCUUUCAUGCCAUGCAUAUCUAAAAGAUUGUAAUUUCUAUAUUAUAACUACAUCACUACAGUUUAAAAUGUCUGUAAUAACAACAAAUGCACAAUUGCCAUGAGAAAGACGUAUGACUGCCAAAGAUUAUGUGAGUUAUGCCAAUUGAUAUAUACACAACUUAUAUGCAGAGACUUUUAUUCUCUCAUUCUCCCUCGAUACAAACCACAAACCAUGAAAUAAACAAAAUUCUGUGAACCAAAAUUUCUUCAAUCCUUUUUGGAAUUAUUUUAUGCAUAACUCUUGCAUAUCAAGGAGUAAAUGUCUGCCUAUUCAGCUGAAUUUGGUAUGAUGAAAUAGAAGAAACAGCUCCAUGUUGUUAGGCCUUAUCAUUACUCUAGCCGAUAAGAGAGUUCUAAACGGUAUGUAAGCUAGUACUAGAGAUAUGGAUCAGCUGUAAGGGGCAAGCCAAUUUGGCAAUUGGCACUCGGGAUGGUUUUUCCCCCCUUUUUUCUAUAUAGUAAAGGGAGAAUUUGAAAGAGUUCCUCUAUCUACGUCCAGGGUGGAGGUUUUUUCUCGUCUUCAGUACGAGGUCAAAGUGAUGGCAGAAGAUUUAGAUGAACUCUAUGUGAGUUUGUCUUUAACAAAGAAGGAAAAUGAAGCCGUUUCGGUGGAGACUAGUAGACUGGAAGAAGUGCUAGAAUGAGGGGAGAACUGUUUGAUUAUGAAGAUUUUGGUAAGGAAGCAUUAUAAUCACGAAGCGUUUAAACAGACGAUGAGGAAAGUUUGGAGACUUGUGAAGUUUCGUGAUCUGAAUGCUGAGUUUACGCUGGUUGAGUUUGAAGAUCCAUGAGACAAGGCUAAGGUCCUACGGGAGGGUCCUUGGACUUUUGACAAACACUUGGUGCUCUUGAAGAAGUUCUAUGGUAUGUUGCAGAUUAGUAAGCUUGAACUGGUGCAAGCACCUUUUUGGGUCCGUAAUCCGUAUAUACGAUUUACCUUUGAUGGCUCGUAAUGUGUAUGUUGGGAAUCUGAUAUGUGGUGCUUUGGGGGAGGUGUUUGAAGUUGAUCUGGAUAGGGGUGAGAUGCAGUGGGGGGAGUAUAUGAGAGUUCAAGUGAUUUAGAUAUUUCGAGGCCAUUCUUACGACAAAACGUAUGAAUUUGGGGGAAGGAAAGCCAUGUUGGGUUUGCUUCUUAUAUGUGAGACUACCAAACUUGUGUUUUUAUCGCGGGGUGUUGGGGCAUACUCUGAAGGAAUGCGAUGUUGUUGAUGCUGCCAAGUUGGACCAUGCUAAGCUUCCUUAUGGUCAAUGGUUAAGAGCUGGGUUACAACUACUCAAAGGGGAGGGAAGCGACAUAUUCGUAACUCGGGGAUGUCAAAAACUGUAGAACCAUGGACGACGGCAGGAGCAACGGGGGCUGAAACUCCGACGAGUAGUAAAGUUGGUGGUUCUAAUGUUCCAAUUGUUAUGGAGACAAUUAUGACUAAUCAAUGUGGGGAUGUGGGGGAGCAAGUUCUGGAAACUGACGAGGUAGAGAUAAAUGCGGGAAUGAAAUCUUCUGGGGGAACUUGCUACUUCCACUGAUUUAGGGAUAAUGGCCAAUGUGGAAUCUGAGCAGUUGAAUGAGCAGGGUUAAUGACUUUUCUAAAGGGGAAGAAAGUGGAUGAUGGGGUUACCGAAGUGCCUGUCUUAGAGGAAUCACAUAUGGGCUUGGGUUUGGGUUUCGGCCCAAAUGGUGGCAGUAUGGUUACAAAGUUUCCUAAAACUGGCCCAUUAACUCAAAAUUCCCAGAAGAACCUGUAUUGUGCUCGGGGGCAAUUUUCGGGAGUUAGGGUUGCAAAACUCAAGCUUGGUUCUGACCCGAGAGAGGAAGAAAGCAUUGGCCGAACCCUGAGAAGGGGGAAUUCUUCAAAUCAUGGCAAGAAAAGGAAGGGAAACAUGCUGUUGGAGGAAGACGCAAAAUGUUGUAAGUCAAGUUCUGUUUCUGUUUUAGUAGAACUACUACCAGAGAUAUUGGCGGCGGUUGUUGAACAGCCUUGCUGGACACAAUGAAGCUUUUAAGCUGGAAUCUCCGUGAGCUUGGGAACCCACGAGGUAUUCGUACACUUCGUGAUCUGAUCACGAGAGAAGUUCCCGAUGUUAUUUUUCUGCAAGAAACACGAUUGAAAUCUCAGCAAUUGGAGUUUUGUAAGUUUAAAUUUGGUUUCAUAAUUUUUUUGGUGUUGAUUGUGUGGGUUGUAGUGGUGGUCUUGCGUUGUUGUGGAAAGAUGAAGUUCAUUUGUCGAUUGUUAAUUUCACAAAAAAUCACAUACAUGCUGUUGUUACUAAUAACGAUGGGGGGAAAUGGCUGUUAACAGUAUCAAAGGAAAACUGGGGUUUUCUUUACUUAAAAUGCGGCAGUCUCCUAAUAAGAUAUGUUUUCUAAUAGUUAUCUUGUAUUUAAAUUAAACUUAUACAUAUUUAGAUAGGAUAAAGUCAGUUAGUUAGUGGAGAUUCAAAUUGAAUCUCAAUCUUAUCUUUGUAACCCGAGAACUAUUGUCUAUUUAAUGAUAAGAAAAUACCUCAAGGGGUACCUUCGGCUAAAACUUUGACAUGGUAUCAAGAGCAGGUUCCUAAUUACCGUGCCUCCUCCAAAUUUUUUUUUUUUUCCUUGGAAUUGUAUUCUUGUUCUGGGUAUUCUCGGCACUUCUGUGCCUUCGUGACUAUCGUAGACAGCUUGGGUUCUCUUUAUCGGUGUCCUCUGUGAUGUAUUCAGAGGUUGUUUUUGGCCUCUCGCGUGACUAUCGGCACUGUCUAGGUGGUUUGUGGGGUAGUUCAGCGCCUUCUGUUGGGUGCUCUUAGUCUGUCAACGUUUUCUGUGCUGGGUCAUCCCAUUUUCGGCAAUUGGGUUGCGUUGUUCUGGCACUCGGCUUUUUAGUGACCUUCGAGCUCUAGGUUCAGACCACCAAGGAAUAUUUUGGCACUCUCUAUCUCAUUUUCUGGCUCUCGAGACUCUGUUUGGUGGUGAUUUCCCAGUUCUGGCCAAUUUUGACUCUCGGAAUUUGAUAGGUCUGUCCUCAUGGUAUCUGAAAAAUCUAAUUCCUUGUGCAUUCGUUUCAAUGGUAAAAAUUAUUCUGCUUGAGCAUUUCAUUUUCAACUUCUUGUCAAGGGUAAAGAACUUUGGGGUCAGGGUUGAUGGCAAUAUUCCAGCCCCAGAAAGUGCUACGGAGAGGUCUAAGUGGGAGAGUAAAGAUGCCAAGAUCAUGUCUUGGAUCCUAGGCUCUAUGGAGCCUCACAUCAUUCUCAAUCUUCAACCCUACAGAACCUCCAAGCCUAUGUGGGAGUAUUUGAAAAGAAUCUAUACUUAGAAUAAUUCUUCUAUAAGGUUUCAGCUAGAAUUUGAGAUGGCUAAUUUUUCUCAAGGUGCCUUAUCUAUAGAGGAAUUCUAUUCUGGUUUUUCAAAUCUGUGGAUUGAAUACAUUGACAUUGUGUAUUCCUCUGUCACUGUCGCUGGUCUCCCUCAUGUGCAAAGUGUGCAUGAAACCAGUAGGAGGGAUCAAUUUCUUAUGAAACUACGUCCAGAUUUUGAAUUUGUUCAUUCUCAAUUAAUGAAUAGAGAUCCAGUUCCUUCUCUUGAUGAUUGUUUGGGCGAUUUGCUUCGGGAUUCUCUGAUCUCUUGGAAGUGUAAGAAGCAAGAUUGUGUAUCGAAGUCAUCUAUAGAGGCUGAAUAUAGGGCAAUGUCUGCUGCAUGUUCAGAAAUUAUGUGGUUGCGUGGUAUUCUUUCAGAACUCGGGUUUGCACAAACACAUCCCACGCCUCUUCAUGGUGAUAAUACAAGUGCCAUUCAAAUUGUAGCCAAUCCAGUUUUUCAUGAACAUAUGAAGCACAUCGAGGUUGAUUGUCACUAUAUCCGAGAUGCCCAUGUGUCUAAAGCUAUCAUUCUCCCUCAUGUGCCAACUGAACACCAAGUAGUUGAUAUCUUCAUCAAAGCUUUAACUUGACAACGGCAUCAAUACUUACUUAGCAAAUUGCUGCUAGUUGACUCACUAGCAUCAAUUUGAGGGAUGGUAUCAAAGGAAAACUAGGGUUUUCUUUACUUAAGAUGCAGCAGUCUCCUAAUAGGAUAUGUUUUCUAAUAGUUAUCUUGUAUUUAAAUUAAACUUGUACAUAUUUGGAUAGGAUAAAGUCAGGUAGUUAGUAGAGAUUCAAAUUGAAUCCCAAUCUUAUCUUUGUAACCCAAGAACUAUUGUUUAUUUAAUGAGAAGAAAAUACCUUAAGAGGUACUUCGGCUAAAACUUUGACAAACAGGGGUGUAUGGUCACCCAAAUUGUAGUUUGCAAGCAAUAGUGUGGAGGUUGUUAAAGGCUUUGGGUUGUGGGGUGAAUUUACCAUGGCUGGUUUUUGGGGAUUUCAAUGAAAUCCUACAUCAUUCUGAGAAGUGUGGAGGUAAUUUCAGAAGUGAAAAACAGUUGAGGGAGUUUAGGGAGGUGUUAGCAGAAGGUGAGCUUAGAGAUUUGGGUUUUGUUGGUGCUAGUUUUACUUAGAGUAAUAGGAGGGAAGGGGUUGGACUAAUUAGUGAGAGAUUGAAUAGAUUUCUUGCUAACUCUUUGUGGUGUGAUCUGUAUCCGAAUCUUAGGGUGAAAACAUGGGGUGGUAGCUUAUUCUGACCACAUUUCUUUGUGGUUGGACAUAGAUGGGGUGGUUUUUAUUAGAAAAAAAGGUAGAAAGUCUUUUAGGUUUGAAGCCAUGUGGGUGGGGGAGAAAGAGUGUUCAUCCAUUAUUGAGAAGGCUUGGAGGCAAGUAGAUGGCUCUAAUUCAUUGAGUCGUAUUAUGAAGUGUAUCUCAACCUGUGCUAAGGAUUUGGGAAGGUGGAAUCAGACUUCUUUUGGCCAUGUUCAUAAGGAAUUAGCAAGUACAAAGUUGAGACUGAAUUUGUUGCAAGAGAAUGACCUGAGUUAUUAUUUUCUGGCUGAGCAUAACAAAGCUAAAGAAGAGGUUCAAAAGUGGCUUGAAAAGGAUGAAUUAAUGUGGAUAGAGAGGUCUCGUGUGAUGUGGCUUAGAGAGGGGGAUAGUAAUUUGAAGUAUUUUCAUUCUAAGGCUUCUAGUUGAAGAAGGAAGAAUAGCAUUGUACAGCUGCAAGAUGAAUCUGGAAUUUGGACUAAAGGAGAUCAGAUGGAAGAUUUAAUUACUGAUUCUUUUCAUAAGUUAUUCUCAGCUGCAGGCCAAGUGGAGAUGGAGGAUGUUUAAUCAGGGAUAGAGGCUAAAGUAACUGAUGGGAUGAAUGUGGAGCUUUUAAAACCUUAUACGGCUGAGGAAGUGGAAUUAGCACUCAAACAGAUGCACCCCUCAAAAGCUCUUGAACCAGAUGGGAUGUCUCCAAUUUUCUUCCAAAGGGCUACCUUUUGUGAUCAAAAUUCUGCUGUGGUUGAAGUGAUUCUUAGAGAUCAUAAUGGUGAUGUUGUAGUGGCUUGUAGCAAGGCUGAAAGGGAAAUCUCUUCUGCAGAAUUUAUUGAGGCUACUGCUUUGCUAAGGGGAUUACAGUUAUGUGCUCAAUGGGGAGUUCCAAAAGUGUUGUUAGAAACUGAUUGUUUGAUACUUGUUCAUGCUUUUAAUUAUAUAUCUGAGUUUCUAAUAGACUUUGAUUUUAUUCUACAAGAUAUUCAGAGACUCAUGAGAGGUUUUCAAGAAGCAAAAGUUGUCCAUGUUAAUCGAUUGGGAAAUAUGGCUGCUCACCAAUUGGCAAGACAUGCAUGGGAAUAAGCAUGCGCAAUAAGCAUGGGAAUAAGCACGCGCUUCACGACACUAGUCUUGGUGCAAACUUUGAAGAUUGCGCAAUAAGCAUAACAUAUGAAACAAGUACAGUGGUCCUUUACGUUGACAUACUUUUGUUGUUUCAAAAGGCAUCUCCACCUUCCACAUCCUUAUGAUUUUGCAAUUAUAAUUGGCCCAUGUUCCUUGGAUCAAAGGGUAUUUCCUCAUCAUAUAUAUGUUAAAGGUGGACGGUGAGAUCACGGGUUCAAUAGCUUGGAACCCGUGAAAAAUGGCUUACGUAAAUUCAAACAAAUGGGUGUUAAUGAUUUUUCAGUUUUGCAGGACCUUAAUUGUCAUAUUCUUCCGGUUCGUGAAAAAUUACCAAGAUUAAUAGCUUGGAACCCGCCAGACUUGGGUUUUUUUUAACUCAAUGUUGAUGGUGGUUCUUGUGGCAAUCCAGGGAGAUCCGGCGGUGGGGGCAUCCUUUAGGACUAUAGGGGUAAGGUGAUAGCGGGGUUUGCUCACUCGUAUGGUCAUGCGACAAAUACCAUUGCCGAGUGUCAUGCUCUUCUUGAUGGGCUUCGUUUGUGUCACUCCAUGGGUUUGAGAGAUUUGUGGGUGGAAUCUGAUUCAAGUGUUGUGAUGCGUUGGCUAGCUUCCAGGAUAUGCAAAUAUUGGUUUCUUUGGAAUUUUUGGGAAGAAAUUCAAUCUCUUGUUGGUUUGUUCAAUAUUCGGUUAUGGCAUAUUUUCAGAGAGGCGAACAUUGCAGCAGAUUUUUUGGCAAAACAAGGCAGGAUAGAUAGAUCUUUUGAUUUCAUUGGUGAGGACUUGGUGCAAGGAAGGCUUCGGGGUAUUGUUCGACUAGAUUUAUUGGGUAUUCCAUAUGUUCAUUAUUGAUGCAUUCUUAUGAUGAGAUGUUGUAAAUUCUCUGGUGACAUGUGUUGUUUUUACGGUAUCCCUCCGCCAUAAGUAAGGGCUUUUUAAUAAAAUUGGGAGAGAGUCACUCAUGGACUUGUGACCUUCGUCUCUUAAAAAAAAUAAAAAAAGAUCACAGGUUCAAUCU